GAGAGUCAAGCGGCCUGGAUUCCGCGAUGGACAGGUUCUUUUGUGUUGCUGGGAACACCGGCGGGUUAUCGUUAAUGUCCCUCACCUCCACGUCCACAUGGAAAACCUGCAGCGGCCUGUCUACGAUCACCUCCAGGUGGAUGCUGCACUCCGCGCUCCGCCGGCACAGCUCCUCCCGGUCGAUCCGAGAAUUCACAAACAAAAUGCCAUUCUGCAGAUUUACCUCCAGAAGGCCUCCGCGGCCCUUGGACGCCACCCGGAACAGGCGCGGCACCAGCUCCGCCAGCUCCAGUCCCAGGUCCUGCGCGAUGCGGCCCACGAAGGUGCCGUGUUUGGCCUCCUCGGAGACCGAGUAGUGGAGCUGACCGUUCCCUGCCUCCCAGGCUGCGAGGAGAAGAAGUAAGAGCAGCAGACGCCGGGAUUCCUGGCCGCUUCCCCAGGAAAACUCCAUCUUUAGUGCACAGUAUUUUGUUCUGAUUAAAUAUCGUUUCUCAAAGUCAAGGGAAAUCUUUUAAUCGGUCAGUCAAGUGCAGCUGCAUCCUCCAUAUUUCAGACUCCAAAGAGUGUAUAUGGUUCCUUCCAGUAAGAAUAGAAGGAAUUUUCCCUUCUUCCUCCUUCUCUCAUGUAUUUUGUGGUAAAGAGCGACAUCAUGUGGCUCCAAACCAGGAGUGGAAACAUUGAGGAAUGAAAAACAAAGACAUUUUGGAAAGAAUAAAUAAAAAUUACUCACUUUGGCUGAGAGAUCAACGUCCACAUCCUGUUUCUCCUCUCUAUCCCGGCUAAUUGGACAAGGAGGAAGGCUAGGGCUAAAAGCCAUGAGGUCGGUCUUGGGCAACCCCUCUCCAGAGCACACCCUCUGCUGCCUCUGCUGCGAGUAUGACCAGCUCCCCACCGCGCUGGAGCACACCAGCGUGGGCUUGCCCGGCCCACAGUCGCCUUCGGUUGGCGGCGCGGAGCACCGCAGAGCAGUAUAUAGCAGCAGUGUGAGCACCAACAGACUGGACACCGCGCAGAUGGCGACGAUCAAGUACACGUUGACAUCCACCAGUGCAGCUUCCGGGCCCGUGGCGCCAGCGGACGCCUGGGACGAGGCCUUGGGUGCCUGGCCACUCUCCACCAGCGACACCAGCACAGUGGCCGUGGCGGUCAAUGAGGGUUCACCGUGGUCCUUCACCAGCACCAGUAGGCGAUGGCGCGGGGCGUCCACCUCGUCCAGGGCACGGGUCGUGCUGAUCUCUCCCGUGUACAGCCCCACGCGAAACGGGAUGCGCGCACCGCCGGUCCCAGGCUGCAGCUCAUACGAAAGCCACGCGUUGUAGCCUGAGUCUGCAUCCACUGCGCGCACCUUCGCUACCACGUGGCCCGCACCCACUGACCGCGGCACCAGCUCGCUCACUGCGCCACCGAUGCCACCCACCCGAGGCAUCAGCAGUGCCGGCGCGUUGUCGUUCUCGUCCAGCACGAACACCUGCAGCGUCACGUUGCUGCCCAGAGGCGGCACGCCCGCAUCGCGCGCACUCACCUGGAACUGCAGCAGCUCUAGCUCCUCGUGGUCCAGCGGCUGCAGCGCGUACACCUUGCCGCUCUCCGCGUGUACCGACACGUAGCUCGACAGCGCGCGCUCCCCCACCCGCCGUUCCACCAGCGAGUAGGACACCAGGGCGUUCUCCUGCGCGUCCGCGUCCCGCGCAGACACCGUGAAGAUGUGGCAGCCCGGCGGGUUGUUCUCCUUCACGAACACCGUGUACUCGGACUGCGAGAAUGCCGGCGCAUUGUCGUUCACGUCGGCCACCUCCACGGACACGCUGGCCGUGGCCCACAGUGAAGGCGAGCCCCCGUCCCGAGCAGUCACCACCAGCUCAUAGGCCGACACGCUCUCGCGGUCCAGAGGGCUGUCCAGCACCAAUGAGUAGUAAUUCUUGAAGGUGGACACCAGCUUGAAGGGGACGUGGGGCGUCAGCGAGCAGGUGACCUGUCCAUUGACUCCUGAGUCGCGGUCGGACACGCUGAUCAGAGCGAUGACUGUGCUAAGUGGAGAGUCUUCUAAUACAGGUAAAGAUAGUGAUUGAAUAACUAACUCAGGUACAUUAUCAUUGAUGUCCACAAUUUCGAGUAGAACUGUGCAGUGAUCUGACAUUGGGGGAUUUCCUUUAUCCGUGGCUUCUACCUGGAUUUCAUAUGACUUACUUUCCUCGAAAUCUAUGUUACCCUUUACACUGAUUUGUCCAUUGACUGGAUCUAAAUGGAAUUUUGACAGAAUAUCUGCUGACAUGUCCGUAUUGAAAGAAUACGCGAUAUCCUUAUUUACUCCUUCAUCCAAAUCGGUGGCGUUAACGGUCACCACUAGGGUACCAUUUGGUGCAUUUUCGAGUAAUCUGACUUUAUAGAUCGUCCUCUCAAACGCUGGGGCGUUGUCGUUUACAUCUAAAACAGUGAUCUUUAGUUGAGUCGUGCCAGUGAGCUCUGGUUUCCCACCAUCAAUUGCUGUUAUUAGUAAAUAAUGCUUAGGAGUGUCCUCUCGAUUUAAAUUUUUUUUCAACACGAGUCCAAGGGAUUUAAUUUCCUCAUCAUUUCUUUUAACGUCCAAGGUAAAAUAUUCAGUGGAAUCAAGACUGUAAGUCAACAACGAAUUUGUUCCGAUAUCUGCAUCUGAUGCGCCCUCUAGCGAAAACCGAGAGCCAGGCUGUCGGGAUUCGGAAAUAAACAGAUUCUUUACAGCCAUUGGAAAAACUGGCGCGUUGUCAUUAAUGUCCUUCACUUCCACCUCCACAUGGAAAACCUGCAGCGGCCUGUCCACGAUCACCUCCAGGUGGAUGCUGCACUCCGCGCUCCGCCCGCACAGUUCCUCGCGGUCUAUCCGAGAAUUCACAAACAAAAUGCCAUUCUGCAGAUUUACCUCCAGAAGGUCCCCGUGUCUUUUGGACGCCACCCGGAACAGGCGCGGCACCAGCUCCGCCAGCUCCAGCCCCAGGUCCUGCGCGAUGCGGCCCACGAAGGUGCCAUGCUUGGCCUCCUCAGAGACGGAGUAGUGGAGCUGGCCGCUCCCCACCUCCGAGGCUGCGAGGAGCAGAAGAGAAAGCAGCAGGCACUGGGCUCCAGGAUCUUCUCGCCAGGAGAACAACAUUGCAAAGAGGAUGAAGCAAAGCAGUAUCUGAAUACGUAAUGCACGCUGUUAUUUCUUUUGUGGAGAAAGACCUUGUGGUGGACAGCGACAUCAUGUGGCUAAACGUGUAAGUAUUAAAUAUGUAAACGUAUCUUCUUUUCCUUGUAUGUCGUUUGAACUUUCCCAAAAUUUCUAGUUUCAAUUGUAAUAUCCUUCGGUCACUCCUCAAAGUCCUUAUAUUUUAUCUAAAUAUUUCCUUAGAACUUUUAUACUAAUUCACUAUCAAUUGUGCUAAUUCAUGACAUACACUAAAAUAUUGUGAUUCCUGUUUUAACAGUGGACAUCUAUUGGAAAUAUUUCCCAUGUGACAGCCACUUUUCUAUUUGUCUUAAUGGAAUUAUCCCGUUAAAUUAUCACAAUCCUCUGAAAUAAGUUUUAAUAUUAUUCGCUUUUUAUAAACACAUAGAGGUUAAGUAAAACGAUAUUAUCUCUUGGUACGAUGGGAUUUCAAUCUGAUUCAAGACAACUUACCAUUAACCUCUUUACCACCCAAGUUACAUUUUAUAGAAAAAUCAGAUCCUUUCAGAUUUAUGAUCAUCAAAACAUUGAGAUGUUGAAGUAUUUAAAAGUGUGUGUGUGCUGUAUAUAUUAAAACAUACAUAUAUCUACUUUUAUGUUAUUACAGCAACUGUUAAUUUCUUAAAAUAUGUACAUUUAUGGUUUUUUAAAUUUGUAGAAUGUCUGUAAUUCCCUCCCAUGCCCCUUUUUCAAGAACUAUAGCCUCAUCAACUGUCUUGACUGUAACUUACAUAAAGAUUUCAGAAGUCGGUCCUUUACAGAGAAAUUCAAACAGGAAAUUUGUUUCCUAUUGUGGGAAUGUGAUUUGUAUAUUUGUUACACUCACAUCACAUCAAUUAAGAAUAUAUUAGGUUUAAUUUUUCCACACUCUUUAUGUAUUUGAAUUUACCUGUAUAUACUAAAAUGUUAACAAUAUAAAGUAAUUACGUUUUUGAUGAUCUCCACUCCUGAUGAAUUUCUAGAUUCCAGUUUUUUUAAAAGUUGUUACUUGAAAGAAUUGAUUAUUUAACUAAACAGUGAAGGGAGAAAAGUAACCUAGGAACAUAAGCCAGUAUUUACUCAACAUAUUUAACACUAAGCAAUAAAACAUUCUAAAGAUAUCUGUGAAUUCAAUGAGAAGCAUGAAUUCUCGCCGCAUUUGGAAGUGGGGCAAAGAAAAUUUAUGGAAAGAGGUCAAAUUUAGAGAAAUAAAAUAAUGUACAAAUUUUUGCUUAUACCCAGACCAUUUAAAAAUGAAAUCAAACAUGUGAUUUAAAUAUUUAGGGGAAAAGUUUUCAUUUCAGCUUUUGUUUCCUGUGUAUUCAUGAAAUGGAAGCCAGGACUGCAACUUACUCAGAUUUUAUCAUUCAUAUUUAGAAUAGGAUAAAUUAUCAAUUGUUGUUUUCAUGAAUAAAUAAAUUAAUAUUUUGAAUUAACUUUUUCAAGCAAGAUAAAUAAAAAUGUAAGUUAAUGAUAUUUGUUAAUAUCAAACUUACAUAAUUUCUAAAUGAUUAUAUUGUGCUAUAUUAUGAAGAAGUAAGUAAACAUUUAAGCAUUAUUUCUGAAAAGCAUGGACCUAAGAAAUAAUUAUAGCUAUUAAUAUUCCAGUUACCACUUUGCUGAAUUUUUAAAGAUGGUAGCUAGUUUGAAAAUAAGAGAUAAAUUUAAAAUUUUUAAACUUCAUGGACUUCAUAGUAAUGAGAUGCCUUUGACAACUUAUUGUAAUACUGCACUUUUCAGUACCUUUAAGAGUUAUACUAAUUGCAAAAUGGAAUGUCACAUGAGAAUUUAUAGCAGAGUAGACUCCAUACUGAUUAUUAAGAGAUAAAGGUAAUAUUAAAGGAACUAUGAGUUUAGAAGAUUGAGCCAUUUUGUAGAUAAAGUAUCAGUGAAUAAUUUCUACUACCACCUAGAUGUCACUUAGACAACCAAGAAAAAAUGUAAAUAAGAAUGUUUUGAAAAAACUUAUAGAGCAACAGAUUGUGACUCCUGGAGAUUUGGAUAUAUGUGAAUAUAAUUUUAGAAGCUUAUCAUUUACCUAUGGUAGAAACAUAGUGGUCAAGUAUUACUUGGAAAUGGAUAUUCUGACCUAACUAUGAAAUGGCUAAAGGUAAGAUCACUAGUGGAAGUUAUUUCUAUGAUUUAUCAAUAUGCACAUAUAUUUAGAAUAAACAGCAAAUAACUAAGAACUAAAUAGUAGAGGACCGUUUAAGACAGUUAUUUUAUUGCAAUACAUCUGCCUUUGGUUGGAAAAGCUAAAAAAGUUCUUUCCAAGUGUAACAUUUACUUGUCGAGUUCAGUGUUAUAAUUACCCAAAAUAAAUGUUUCAAGUGAAAAUGUAGUCAUCCAAGACCAGGCCUCAUCUUUUGGAAAAAUUCCAAUUUCAUUAGGAAUAUGGAUGCUUCCAGGUAAAAUUGAGUGAGCUCACAUUAAUGGAAAAUGUAUUCCCACGCAUAGAAUUAGAUGCCAGAAAAAAGUAGUCAAUCUCUGCAGUGGGAGGCCUGCACACAUUGGCCUAAUGAUAAUGAUACUGAAAGGAUGAUUUAUCAACCAUUAACAUAAAGACUGGGUAGUCUCCACUUAAAUGAAGAAAAAGUCCCACCACCUGAAAAACCCCAGUGUGAUUUUUAAAUGUUAAUAUUUUCAAAUUAAACAAAAUUGAGAGGGUCUCUUUUCUCAAUACUCUCUAUUUUUGCCUGAUAACUCAAAAAUGUUAUCAGUGUGAAAUCUUUAUACCAAAUAAUGGGUUAUUUUACUUAUAAAAAACAUACUUAAGAUUAGCAGUUAUUCCUAAGUGCUGUCAUUUUGUUGUAACAACCUGUGCUACAUACUUUUGGAAAUUCUGGUGUUAAAAUAUCCACUCAGGCUGCUUUCAAAUACAAAUAAAAAGACCAGGUGCAGUGGCUCACUCCUGUAAUCCCAGCACUUUGGGAGGCCUAGGAGGGUGGAUCACUUGAGGCCAGGAGUUUGAGACCAGCCUGGCCAACAUUUAGUUGAGACCAACCCCGUCUCUACUAAAAAUAAAAAAUUUAAAAAAGAAAAUAGCCGGGCGUGGUGGUGGGCGCCUGUAAUCCCAGUUACUAAGGAGGCUGAGGCAAGACAAUCACUUGAACCCGGGUGGCAGAGGUUAUAGUGAGCUGAGAUCACACCACUGCACUCCAGCCUAGGUGACAGAGCAAGACUGUCUCAACAAAAACAAACAAACAAAAAAAAAAUGUAGCUUAUUAACUAUUGCAUAGACAAGGGCAUUGUUGAUCCAAAGAACAAUCUAAGAAAUGUCCAGGAUAUAGGUUAUUCCAAACACUAUCCGACAGAUUGGAUAGACAGUGUCAGUUGAAAAUACGUAUUAUAUAAUCAAAUUCUUUAAUUUCUUCCGAUUGUGAUUUUCAAUUUUUAAGAGAGAAAAUAUUUAUGGGAAAUGUUUAAUUUACAAAUUUUGCUGAGGUGUUUUUCAGUGUUUCAUGGUCUAUUACUUAUGACUUAAUGAUGGAAGUGCCAAAAUGUAAAAAUAAGAAAACAGUUAUGUAGAUUGUUUAAAUAAAUUGUUCAGUAAAUGCAA
Homo sapiens (human) is the source of this 6719-nucleotide non-coding RNA. NCBI's taxonomy places the organism in Eukaryota, Metazoa, Chordata, Mammalia, Primates, Hominidae. The record is from RefSeq and is a predicted model, not a curated record.